Molecule: transfer RNA, 62 nt
Filed under: Bolivaritettix sikkinensis
Lineage: Eukaryota; Metazoa; Arthropoda; Insecta; Orthoptera; Tetrigidae
Description: tRNA-Gly
Rfam family: tRNA
About the family: Transfer RNA (tRNA) molecules are approximately 80 nucleotides in length.
Source: RNAcentral
GUCUUCUUAGUAUAAAAGUACAUUUGAUUUCCAAUCAAAAAGUUUGAAUUUCAAAGAAAACA